RNAcentral lists this ribosomal RNA (483 nucleotides) under uncultured bacterium. RNAcentral's name for it is "partial 16S ribosomal RNA". It matches the Rfam family "Bacterial small subunit ribosomal RNA", at positions 29 to 523 of the family's 1533-position model. The record is from RNAcentral.
AGUGAACGCUGGCGGCGUGCUUAACACAUGCAAGUCGAACGAGAACGGAUUAUAGCUUGCUAUAAUUGUCGGCUAAGUGGCGCACGGGUGAGUAAUGUAUAGGUAAUAUGCCUCUUACUAAGGGAUAACGAAUGGAAACGUUUGCUAAUACCUUAUACUCCUUAUUAACAGAAGUUAAUAAGGGAAAGAUUUAUUGGUAAGAGAUUAGCCUGUAUUGUAUCAGUUAGUUGGUGGGGUAAUGGCUUACCAAGACUGUGACACAUAACUGGUUUGAGAGGAUGAUCAGUCACACUGGAACUGAGACACGGUCCAGACUCCUACGGGAGGCAGCAGUGGGGAAUAUUGCACAAUGGACGAAAGUCUGAUGCAGCAACGCCGCGUGGAGGAUGACACAUUUCGGUGCGUAAACUCCUUUAUAUGAGAAGAUAAUGACGGUAUUAUAUGAAUAAGCACCGGCUAACUCCGUGCCAGCCGCCGCGGUAA